GGCAUUGUGAUGUGUUAGGUGGGUCUGAACCCUCUGGCUUCAGAGAGAGUGCCUGUGGGGCACCAGGUAAUCCGAGACUGCAGCUCAGAGAUUACUCCAGCAAAGAGUCAGGUAUCCACACUGCCUCUGGUACCUGCCCGUUGGUCACUCACUCAUUGUUCUGAUGAUAAGAUAGACAGAUCACAAGAAGGGAUGAAAGUGGUGUCAUUCUCCAGAACCAGGUGUGGAUUGUGAUCAGACCUAGAAUUGGCUACGUAAAAAGCUUAAGAGAGAGAUUCCAUGUCCUGCAACACUGUCCACAAUUCAAAUCUGUAUUCAAGAUAAAACUAAAAGCAGAGAAAAUCCACAGCAGACCUACCACUCUCCAGGCAGAUAGUGCCCUCUCCACACUCUGCAGCCAUCACCUGCCCCUGC
RNAcentral lists this long non-coding RNA (414 nucleotides) under Pan troglodytes (chimpanzee). Its description in RNAcentral is "long non-coding RNA NONPTRT002158". Lineage: Eukaryota; Metazoa; Chordata; Mammalia; Primates; Hominidae. The record is from RNAcentral.